UUACUAGGCGCUGCUUAUGUA
RNAcentral lists this non-coding RNA (21 nucleotides) under Arabidopsis thaliana (thale cress). The record is from RNAcentral. Lineage: Eukaryota; Viridiplantae; Streptophyta; Magnoliopsida; Brassicales; Brassicaceae.